This 503-nucleotide ribosomal RNA is filed under the name uncultured bacterium. RNAcentral's name for it is "partial 16S ribosomal RNA". It matches the Rfam family "Bacterial small subunit ribosomal RNA", at positions 30 to 523 of the family's 1533-position model. The record is from RNAcentral.
AUUGAACGCUGGCGGCAGGCUUAACACAUGCAAGUCGAGCGGGGUGAUGGUGCUUGCACUAUCACUUAGCGGCGGACGGGUGAGUAAUGCUUAGGAAUCUGCCUAUUAGUGGGGGACAACAUCUCGAAAGGGAUGCUAAUACCGCAUACGUCCUACGGGGGAAAGCAGGGGAUCACUUGUGACCUUGCGCUAAUAGAAGAGCCUAAGUCGGAUUAGCUAGUUGGUGGGGUAAAGGCCUACCAAGGCGACGAUCUGUAGCGGGUCUGAGAGGAUGAUCCGCCACACUGGGACUGAGACACGGCCCAGACUCCUACGGGAGGCAGCAGUGGGGAAUAUUGGACAAUGGGGGGAACCCUGAUCCAGCCAUGCCGCGUGUGUGAAGAAGGCCUUAUGGUUGUAAAGCACUUUAAGCGAGGAGGAGGCUCUUUUGGUUAAUACCCAAGAUGAGUGGACGUUACUCGCAGAAUAAGCACCGGCUAACUCUGUGCCAGCCGCCGCAGUAA